RNAcentral lists this ribosomal RNA (1116 nucleotides) under uncultured archaeon. RNAcentral's name for it is "bacterial SSU rRNA". It matches the Rfam family "Archaeal small subunit ribosomal RNA", at positions 331 to 1448 of the family's 1478-position model. The record is from RNAcentral.
CGCAGCAGGCGAGAAAACUUUGCAAUGUGCGAAAGCACGACAAGGUUAAUCCGAGUGGUUUCUGCUAAAGGAACCUUUUGUUAGUCCUAGAAACACUAACGAAUAAGGGGUGGGCAAGUUCUGGUGUCAGCCGCCGCGGUAAAACCAGCACCUCAAGUGGUCAGGAUGAUUAUUGGGCCUAAAGCAUCCGUAGCCGGCUCUGUAAGUUUUCGGUUAAAUCUGUACGCUCAACGUACAGGCUGCCGGGAAUACUGCAGAGCUAGGGAGUGGGAGAGGUAGACGGUACUCGGUAGGAAGGGGUAAAAUCCUUUGAUCUAUUGAUGACCACCUGUGGCGAAGGCGGCCUACCAGAACACGUCCGACGGUGAGGGAUGAAAGCUGGGGGAGCAAACCGGAUUAGAUACCCGGGUAGUCCCAGCUGUAAACUAUGCAAACUCAGUGAUGCAUUGGCUUGUGGCCAAUGCAGUGCUGCAGGGAAGCCGUUAAGUUUGCCGCCUGGGAAGUACGUACGCAAGUAUGAAACUUAAAGGAAUUGGCGGGGGAGCACCACAAGGGGUGAAGCCUGCGGUUCAAUUGGAGUCAACGCCAGAAAUCUUACCCGGAGAGACAGCAGAAUGAAGGUCAAGCUGAAGACUUUACCAGACAAGCUGAGAGGUGGUGCAUGGCCGUCGCCAGCUCGUGCCGUGAGAUGUCCUGUUAAGUCAGGUAACGAGCGAGAUCCCUGCCUCUAGUUGCCACCAUUACUCUCAGGAGUAGUGGGGCGAAUUAGCGGGGCCGCCGCAGUUAAUGCGGAGGAAGGAAGGGGCCACGGCAGGUCAGUAUGCCCCGAAACUCUGGGGCCACACGCGGGCUGCAAUGGUAAUGACAAUGGGUUCCAAAUCCGAAAGGAGGAGGUAAUCCUCAAACAUUACCACAGUUAUGACUGAGGGCUGCAACUCGCCCUCACGAAUAUGGAAUCCCUAGUAACUGCGUGUCAUUAUCGCGCGGUGAAUACGUCCCUGCUCCUUGCACACACCGCCCGUCGUUUCAUUGAAGUGAGCUUUUAGCGAGGUGACGUCUGAUUGGCGUUAUCGAACUUGAGGUUCGUGACAAGGGAAAAGUCGUAACAAGGUAACC